This 484-nucleotide ribosomal RNA is filed under the name uncultured bacterium. RNAcentral describes it as "partial 16S ribosomal RNA". It matches the Rfam family "Bacterial small subunit ribosomal RNA", at positions 30 to 507 of the family's 1533-position model. The record is from RNAcentral.
AUUGAACGCUGGCGGCAGGCCUAACACAUGCAAGUCGAGCGGAUGAAGGGAGCUUGCUCCUGGCUUCAGCGGCGGACGGGUGAGUAAUGCCUAGGAAUCUGCCUGGUAGUGGGGGAUAACGUCCGGAAACGGGCGCUAAUACCGCAUACGUCCUGAGGGAGAAAGUGGGGGAUCUUCGGACCUCACGCUAUCAGAUGAGCCUAGGUCGGAUUAGCUAGUUGGUGGGGUAAAGGCCUACCAAGGCGACGAUCCGUAACUGGUCUGAGAGGAUGAUCAGUCACACUGGAACUGAGACACGGUCCAGACUCCUACGGGAGGCAGCAGUGGGGAAUAUUGCACAAUGGGCGAAAGCCUGAUCGAGCCAUGCCGCGUGAGUGAAGAAGGUCUUCGGAUUGUAAAGCACUGUAAGUUGGGAGGAAGAGAAGUAUAAGUAUAUCUUCCCGUCUUGACGGUACCAACACAAAAAGCCACGGCUAACUUCGUG